GACGAACGCUGGCGGCGUGCCUAAUACAUGCAAGUCGAACGAGAGCGACCGGUGCUUGCACUGGUCAAUCUAGUGGCGAACGGGUGAGUAACACGUGGGUAACCUGCCCAUCAGAGGGGGAUAACAUCCGGAAACGGAUGCUAAAACCGCAUAGGUCUUCGAGCCGCAUGGCUUGAAGAGGAAAAGAGGCGCAAGCUUCUGCUGAUGGAUGGACCCGCGGUGCAUUAGCUAGUUGGUGAGGUAACGGCUCACCAAGGCCGUGAUGCAUAGCCGACCUGAGAGGGUGAUCGGCCACAUUGGGACUGAGACACGGCCCAAACUCCUACGGGAGGCAGCAGUAGGGAAUCUUCCGCAAUGGACGCAAGUCUGACGGAGCAACGCCGCGUGAGUGAAGAAGGUUUUCGGAUCGUAAAACUCUGUUGUUGGAGAAGAACAAGUGCUAGAGUAACUGUUAGCGCCUUGACGGUAUCUAACCAGAAAGCCACGGCUAACUACGUG
Molecule: ribosomal RNA, 498 nt
Filed under: uncultured bacterium
Lineage: Bacteria
Description: partial 16S ribosomal RNA
Rfam family: Bacterial small subunit ribosomal RNA
Source: RNAcentral